RNAcentral lists this ribosomal RNA (585 nucleotides) under uncultured bacterium. Its description in RNAcentral is "bacterial SSU rRNA". It matches the Rfam family "Bacterial small subunit ribosomal RNA", at positions 102 to 683 of the family's 1533-position model. The record is from RNAcentral.
ACGGGUGAGUAAUAUAUCGGAACGUACCUUUGAGUGGGGGAUAACUAGUCGAAAGAUUAGCUAAUACCGCAUACGAUCUACGGAUGAAAGUGGGGGAUCGCAAGACCUCAUGCUCAUAGAGCGGCCGAUAUCUGAUUAGCUAGUUGGUGAGGUAAAGGCUCACCAAGGCUUCGAUCAGUAGCUGGUCUGAGAGGACGACCAGCCACACUGGGACUGAGACACGGCCCAGACUCCUACGGGAGGCAGCAGUGGGGAAUUUUGGACAAUGGGGGCAACCCUGAUCCAGCAAUGCCGCGUGAGUGAAGAAGGCCUUCGGGUUGUAAAGCUCUUUUGUCAGGGAAGAAACGGGGGUUCCUAAUACGAGCCCCUAAUGACGGUACCUGAAGAAUAAGCACCGGCUAACUACGUGCCAGCAGCCGCGGUAAUACGUAGGGUGCAAGCGUUAAUCGGAAUUACUGGGCGUAAAGCGUGCGCAGGCGGUUAUGUAAGACAGGUGUGAAAUCCCCGGGCUUAACCUGGGAAUGGCAUUUGUGACUGCAUAGCUAGAGUGUGUCAGAGGGGGGUAGAAUUCCACGUGUAGCAGUG